RNAcentral lists this ribosomal RNA (460 nucleotides) under uncultured bacterium. Its description in RNAcentral is "partial 16S ribosomal RNA". It matches the Rfam family "Bacterial small subunit ribosomal RNA", at positions 338 to 795 of the family's 1533-position model. The record is from RNAcentral.
CCUACGGGCGGCUGCAGUGAGGAAUAUUGGUCAAUGGGCGGGAGCCUGAACCAGCCAAGUAGCGUGCAGGAUGACGGCCCUACGGGUUGUAAACUUCUUUUGCAGGGGAACAACGCGCCGCACGUGUACGGCUUGGCAUGUACCCGGAGAAAAAGCACCGGCUAAUUCCGUGCCAGCAGCCGCGGUAAUACGGAGGCUUCGGGCGUUAUCCGGAUUUAUUGGGGUUAAAGGGUGCGUAGGCGGCAGGCUAAGUCUGCCGUGAAAUUGCCGGGGUCAACCCCGGUCGUGCAGUGGAAACUGGCGGGCUUGAGUGAGCGAGAAGUAUGCGGAAUGCGUGGUGUAGCGGUGAAAUGCAUAGAUAUGACGAAGAACUCCGAUUGCGAAGGCAGCAUACCGGCGCGGAACUGACGCUGAGGCACGAAAGCGUGGGGAUCGAACAGGAUUAGAUACCCGAGUAGUC